RNAcentral lists this ribosomal RNA (253 nucleotides) under uncultured bacterium. RNAcentral's name for it is "partial 16S ribosomal RNA". It matches the Rfam family "Bacterial small subunit ribosomal RNA", at positions 524 to 776 of the family's 1533-position model. The record is from RNAcentral.
UACGUAGGGUGCGAGCGUUGUCCGGAAUUACUGGGCGUAAAGAGCUUGUAGGGGGUUUGUCGCGUUGUUCGUGAAAUCUCACGGCUUAACUGUGAGCGUGCGGGCGAUACGGGCAGACUAGAGUACUGCAGGGGAGACUGGAAUUCCUGGUGUAGCGGUGGAAUGCGCAGAUAUCAGGAGGAACACCGGUGGCGAAGGCGGGUCUCUGGGCAGUAACUGACGCUGAGAAGCGAAAGCGUGGGGAGCGAACAGG